Molecule: ribosomal RNA, 471 nt
Filed under: uncultured bacterium
Lineage: Bacteria
Description: bacterial SSU rRNA
Rfam family: Bacterial small subunit ribosomal RNA
Source: RNAcentral
GCAGAGCAUCCUACGGGAGGCAGCAGUGGGGAAUAUUGCACAAUGGGCGCAAGCCUGAUGCAGCCAUGCCGCGUGUAUGAAGAAGGCCUUCGGGUUGUAAAGUACUUUCAGCAGUGAGGAAGGUGGAUAUGUUAAUAGCAUAUUCAUUUGACGUUAGCUGCAGAAGAAGCACCGGCUAACUCCGUGCCAGCAGCCGCGGUAAUACGGAGGGUGCGAGCGUUAAUCGGAAUUACUGGGCGUAAAGCGCAUGCAGGUGGUUUGUUAAGUCAGAUGUGAAAGCCCGGGGCUCAACCUCGGAAUUGCAUUUGAAACUGGCAAACUAGAGUACUGUAGAGGGGGUAGAAUUUCAGGUGUAGCGGUGAAAUGCGUAGAGAUCUGAAGGAAUACCGGUGGCGAAGGCGGCCCCCUGGACAGAUACUGACACUCAGAUGCGAAAGCGUGGGGAGCAAACAGGAUUGGAUACCCUGAUAG